GGUCCUUCGAGCCGGAUAGGUUGGCAGUUUUCCAAAUGGCGGCAUUAAGGGAAUAUGACGAAGAAGAGCAAGUUGUUCGUCCCAGGAGGCAUCACCGGCCCCCAGGACAUCUGGAUGACUACGUUCUGUCAUAUCAUUCCCAUGAGCCUGAUCCAGUAAUUUCAUAUCCAGAUAUGAACACUUUGAGCAGUAACACUGUAUCUGUACAGCGAACAUCAACUCCAAUGCAAGGUGCAGAAGCUGAGAGCUUACCAGAUAUGGACAGAUUGAUGAGGAUGGAGCGGUGCGUUUCACAAGUUCAAGAUCAGAUGAGGGAACUGCAGAAUACCCUCCAUGCAUCUCUUCAUCUCGGCAGAUCAACACUACAUGCUCAACUACCCCAGCAGGCACGUAGCCUCAGUAUGCCCCUAAUCACAGACCCUGAUAUGGGCAGCCUGAAGAACAUUGCCCCUUUCGCUUCAUUACCACAUAGUCCUGAGCAGACGACGGUACAGAGAGUUUCAUCCCCUGCAGUUCUGCCUGUCACUAUGCCAUCCGCUCCUCUUUCCACUACACCUGCCUUUGGUGGUGUGGGGAGCACAACACAGCCUGUUUAUGUCCUCUCUUCAGCCCAAAACGCAGCUCGACCAGCACCAGUGGUAUCAAGGCCUGCAGCGUCAGACCAUCCACAUCCGCCCUGGCAGCAGCAUCAGCAACAGAGAGGAUCAAACUGGCCCAUACCUUAUCCAGCCCGGUCUACACAGCCCUACAUGGGACAACCCAGUUUCCCAGAAAUAAUGCAGCCUCAGCCAUCUGCAUUUCCUUCUUAUCCUGUGCCACCUGUAGGCUCAUUACCCUGGACUUCAGGCCCUAUUGUGAGUAAUCCCCACUCUGCACAGGUUAUAUCUCCCGAUGUAAGCGCACAGUAUAUAUAUAGGGAUCCAGCAUUUCCCCCUCAGCCUCCUGCCAGUGCACAGCCUGGUGCUCUGCAGGACAUGUCACAUUACACCUCCCCCAUGUUAGCAGCUCAGAGGCCUAACUUGAUGGAGAUGGCUAUAUCCUCUUCUUAUGGUAUUCCUAAGCCUAGGUUAGUCAGUUUUACCACAGGGAAGGAGAGCGAUUUUCUCUUAUUGAAGAAAGGAUUAGACGGUGUUAUGGGCCCACAUCCACACCUUUCUGAGGAUUAUAAAUUCCAGGUACUGCUAGAUCACCUCAAGUUCCCAGCUGCUUUCCAGAUAGCUAAGAGAUAUGUCCAUGACCCUAUGCCGUACACUAAAUCAAUGCAGGCUCUGCAGCAGCGCUAUGGACAGCCACGACAGUUAGUCCAAAGUGAAAUAAAUAGCAUUCUUAGAGCCCCCACAGUGAGAGCAGGAGAUGCCCAGGGAUUUGAGGACUUCGCCUUAGCAGUUAGCAGUCUUGUCGGACUAUUGGACUCCUUAAAAGGAGCUGCCAAGAGUGAACUAGAAUGUGGCUCACACGUAGAUAGGCUGCUGAGUAAACUCCCCCCUUCUUAUCAGGAUAGUUUUGCUGAAUUUUGUUUAACCAGGGGUAUCUUGCAGAGUGACUCUGUCAACACAUACACACUCCCUGAUUUUGCCAGAUGGUUAGAGAGAAAAUCCCAAGCCAUUCAGAUCUCUAGGCGAGCCACAGAGAACUACACAGCUGAGAAACCUCGCUCAGACCGCAGAGAGAAACAACCCAAGCAGCUUAAGUCUUCCUCAUCCAUUUACUAUGGCACUGAGAAAGCCCCCACGCAUACUGCUGUUAACACAGAGAAUAAAGAUGGAAUUAAAGGCAAGAAAAGGGAGAAAUUUAAGCCAUAUUGUCCAUUUUGCAGUAGUACAGAACACUAUUUGAACUCCUGCCCAGAUUUUGUUAAGUUGAGUACUGCACAGGUUGUCAGCUGGAUAAAUGAAAAUAAAAGAUGCUGGAAAUGUGGUAGGGGACACCAGCCAGACAGCUGCACCCUUAAAAAGCCAUGUGCAACCUGUGGAGAGCAGCAUCUGCAGAUCCUCCAUGAGGCCUCCUCCAGCACUAACCGGAGUGUCCUGACACUGAGCACAGCAUCCAGCAUGGU
This is a long non-coding RNA of Gouania willdenowi (blunt-snouted clingfish), 2056 nucleotides long. The record is from Ensembl. NCBI's taxonomy places the organism in Eukaryota, Metazoa, Chordata, Actinopteri, Blenniiformes, Gobiesocidae.